CGUUGGAAUACUGAGGAGGGCUGCUCCUAGUACGAGAGGACCGGAGUGGACGAACCGCUAGUGUACCUGUUGUGUGGUCGCAUGCAUCGCAGGGUAGCUAUGUUCGGAAGUGAUAAGCCGCUGAACGCAUCUAAGCGCGAAGCACGCUCCAAGAUAAGUAUUCCCUAUGAGUCUCCCGGAAGACGACCGGGUAGAUAGGUGGCAGGUGUACGCAUGGUGACAUGUUUAGCCGAGCCAUACUAAUUAGACCAUUGGCUUUGUUUA
This 264-nucleotide ribosomal RNA is filed under the name Balneola sp. RNAcentral describes it as "partial 23S ribosomal RNA". It matches the Rfam family "Bacterial large subunit ribosomal RNA", at positions 2652 to 2925 of the family's 2925-position model. Lineage: Bacteria; Pseudomonadati; Balneolota; Balneolia; Balneolales; Balneolaceae. The record is from RNAcentral.